Molecule: transfer RNA, 75 nt
Filed under: Alphaproteobacteria bacterium
Lineage: Bacteria; Pseudomonadati; Pseudomonadota; Alphaproteobacteria
Also listed under: 2 other names
Description: tRNA-Val
Rfam family: tRNA
About the family: Transfer RNA (tRNA) molecules are approximately 80 nucleotides in length. Their secondary structure includes four short double-helical elements and three loops (D, anti-codon, and T loops).
Source: RNAcentral
GCGCGAUUAGCUCAGCGGUAGAGCAACUCGUUUACACCGAGUGGGUCGGCGGUUCAAUCCCGUCAUCGCGCACCA